CCUACGGGAGGCAGCAGUGGGGAAUAUUGCACAAUGGGGGAAACCCUGAUGCAGCGACGCCGCGUGGGUGACGAAGUAUUUCGGUAUGUAAAGCCCUAUCAGCAGGGAAGAAGAUGACAGUACCUGACUAAGAAGCCCCGGCUAACUACGUGCCAGCAGCCGCGGUAAUACGUAGGUGGCAAGCGUUGUCCGGAUUUACUGGGUGUAAAGGGCGUUCAGCCGGAUAGACAAGUCAGAUGUGAAAUCCACGGGCUCAACCCGUGAACUGAAUUUGAAACUGUUUACCUUGAGUGUCGGAGAGGUAAUCGGAAUUCCUUGUGUAGCGGUGAAAUGCGUAGAUAUAAGGAAGAACACCAGUGGCGAAGGCGGAUUACUGGACGAUAACUGACGGUGAGGCGCGAAAGCGUGGGGAGCAAACAGGAUUAGAUACCCUUGUAGUC
This 440-nucleotide ribosomal RNA is filed under the name uncultured bacterium. Its description in RNAcentral is "partial 16S ribosomal RNA". It matches the Rfam family "Bacterial small subunit ribosomal RNA", at positions 338 to 795 of the family's 1533-position model. The record is from RNAcentral.